Molecule: non-coding RNA, 65 nt
Organism: Dipodomys ordii (Ord's kangaroo rat)
Lineage: Eukaryota; Metazoa; Chordata; Mammalia; Rodentia; Heteromyidae
Source: Rfam
GGUGGCUCAGUGGUAGAGUGCUUGCUUUACAGGCAUGAGGCCCUGGGUUCGAUUCCUCAGCACCA